RNAcentral lists this ribosomal RNA (235 nucleotides) under uncultured bacterium. Its description in RNAcentral is "partial 16S ribosomal RNA". It matches the Rfam family "Bacterial small subunit ribosomal RNA", at positions 96 to 334 of the family's 1533-position model. The record is from RNAcentral.
UGGCGGACGGGUGAGUAAUGUCUGGGAAACUGCCCGAUGGAGGGGGAUAACUACUGGAAACGGUAGCUAAUACCGCAUAACGUCGCAAGACCAAAGAGGGGGACCUUCGGGCCUCUUGCCAUCGGAUGUGCCCAGAUGGGAUUAGCUAGUAGGUGGGGUAACGGCUCACCUAGGCGACGAUCCCUAGCUGGUCCGAGAGGAUGACCAGCCACACUGGAACUGAGACACGGUCCAG